Molecule: small nucleolar RNA, 129 nt
Filed under: Sorex araneus (European shrew)
Lineage: Eukaryota; Metazoa; Chordata; Mammalia; Eulipotyphla; Soricidae
Description: small Cajal body-specific RNA 17 (ENSSARG00000020172.1)
Source: RNAcentral
CACCCCCCCCCCUGCAGCCCCCUAUAUGAGCCCGCACUAUGUUCCUUAUAUCAUCAGACCCCUUCUAUGUCAGUAGCCUGAGACAAUUAUGAAAACGUGUUUGGCCAUGUGAGGCAUGGAGUCUGGAUG